ACGGAAGGCAGCAGUGAGGAAUAUUGGUCAAUGGGCGGAAGCCUGAACCAGCCAAGUCGCGUGAAGGAUGAAGGUAUUAUGUAUUGUAAACUUCUUUAGCAGCAGAGUAAUAAGGUCCUCGUGAGGGCUGAUGCAAGUAUGCUGAAAAUAAGGAUCGGCUAACUCCGUGCCAGCAGCCGCGGUAAUACGGAGGAUCCGAGCGUUAUCCGGAUUUAUUGGGUUUAAAGGGUGCGCAGGCGGGCUGUUAAGUCAGCGGUGAAAUCUCCGGGCUCAACUCGGAAACUGCCGUUGAUACUGGCGGUCUUGAUUCAUGUCGAGGAUGGCGGAAUGCAGCGUGUAGCGGUGAAAUGCUUAGAUACGCUGCAGAACUCCGAUUGCGAAGGCGGCUGUCCAGAGAUGCAAUGACGUUCAGGCACGAAAGCAUGGGGAUCGAACAGGAUUAGAUACCCUGGUA
This 454-nucleotide ribosomal RNA is filed under the name uncultured Porphyromonadaceae bacterium. RNAcentral's name for it is "partial 16S ribosomal RNA". It matches the Rfam family "Bacterial small subunit ribosomal RNA", at positions 341 to 792 of the family's 1533-position model. Lineage: Bacteria; Pseudomonadati; Bacteroidota; Bacteroidia; Bacteroidales; Porphyromonadaceae. The record is from RNAcentral.